UCCCUGGUGGCUCAGAUGGUAAAGCAUCUGCCUCCAAUGCGGGAGACCUGGGUUCGAUCCCUGGGUUGGGAA
This 72-nucleotide transfer RNA is filed under the name Ovis aries (sheep). It matches the Rfam family "tRNA". From Rfam's summary of the family: Transfer RNA (tRNA) molecules are approximately 80 nucleotides in length. Their secondary structure includes four short double-helical elements and three loops (D, anti-codon, and T loops). The record is from Rfam by way of RNAcentral. Lineage: Eukaryota; Metazoa; Chordata; Mammalia; Artiodactyla; Bovidae. RNAcentral also lists the same sequence under 1 other name.